AUAAAAGAAUACUUUCACCGGGACUACCUUGACAAGUUCAUGUGUCCAUGAGAUGAGAAUAGAGGAAAAAAAGUACAGGAACAAGUUCCGGCGAUGAGAAGAAGAAUGACAGAAGCAUUCCAUAAUUUAUCUUAAGGCGGCAAUAAUUUGUGUGUCUGGAGACGCGCUUUGCAGGGAAAAGAAUCAAGACUCGCUGAGAGAUGCUUGGUCAGAUCGUUCUUCACUGCUUGGGGGCCGGCAACAGUGCACAGAUCCACAUGACCUCCCGGAAACCGGGACUGUGGUGGCCCCCUAAACCUGGAAAACUCCUAUUCAUCCUUCAGGACCCAGCCAGUGCCUCCUUCUUACGCAGGCCGCAGAAGAGGAGGUCGCUUCUGUUGCAUUUCCCCAGCCUCCGGUCUGGAAGGAGAAACACAAUUCAGCAAAGUUCCCUUCUCCGGCUCCGGCCCCACCUGUCACUAGGGGAGCCUCAGCCGCCCGACCUUCCACGGCUUCCUUCUGUAGUUUUCCUGAGUGUCUCCAGAAGGUGUCCUCUGUGUGCUCUCCUGUGGGCAGCUGUUUAUCUCCCGCAUGGCAUUUGUCAGCGCCCUUCUCCGCGGAGGGGGAGCAGGCUGCGGGGUACCCCCCCCCCCGGCUGCUGUCCGUGUCCCAGUGGUGUAACUGAGGCCACAGCACAGCGCCGCCUCCCGCUGCUGCGUGCUGAAAGCCGUGCUUGCUUUCCCACAAUCACGUGGUCUGGCUCCCAGAUCCGUGCUACAGAACAACUCCGAAAUGGGGACAAUGAGAGUCUAAGAAUACAGAUGGGCUAUGAAUAGCUCCCGCUCACCACGCCUUUCCUGUGGACGAGGAAGGGCGCUAUAAACCCUUCUGUGGAAUCCACGUUGUAAUCCCCGCGUUGAACCCUGGAUUGUUGCUAGUGAGGACCGCAACCCCCAGAGGCUCAGGGAGAUUCAGUAGCUUGCUUCGGUGUUCACAGCUGGUAACGGGCGGCUAGGAGUUUAAACCCGGGUCAGCUUGGCUCCAGAGUCCAGAACCUUCAUGUCCCUGCCUUGGUAUGCACACCAGCUCCCAUGAGACGGAGCGAUGCCCUCCUCAAUGCUUCCCAGUUCCCUUGGCAGUCCAUCAGCUGGAAGGCUCUAUCUUACCUCACAACAGCGCCUGGCUCUUAGUACAAGUUCAACAACGAUUAAAUGAGUGAAGAAAUAAAUAACUAGAGUCUUAGUCUCA
This 1227-nucleotide long non-coding RNA is filed under the name Felis catus (domestic cat). RNAcentral's name for it is "lncRNA (ENSFCAG00000048449.1)". The record is from RNAcentral. Lineage: Eukaryota; Metazoa; Chordata; Mammalia; Carnivora; Felidae.